RNAcentral lists this unclassified non-coding RNA (225 nucleotides) under Hevea brasiliensis (rubber tree). The record is from RNAcentral. Lineage: Eukaryota; Viridiplantae; Streptophyta; Magnoliopsida; Malpighiales; Euphorbiaceae.
GUUUCUUGGAGUGCAAUUUGAAGACCUUGGCGAGCAAGUAAUGUGUUGUAUAAAUUAAGCCCUUGACCUUCAUUGUAAUUUAUCUCAAAAUCAUGCAGAGAUCAACCACAGAUAUUCCACUUAUAAUUGAUGGGUGAGGAAGUGUGUGUUGUUGAGGUCCGGGACCUUUAUCAUUAUACUUCUUCUUCAUUGAUUGCUAGUGGAUUGUUAGCGGUGGCCAUGGAC